AAGAGAAAAUAUGAGCCACGUAUAUGCUCAGUCAGCGACACGACGAAUUACUGCAUGUCGUGUGGCAAACAUGCCGACACGAGCUCCACAUGAGAAGCCAUGUGGACAAUCCACGUGCUAUGCUGAUCGAAUGGCUCGGGGCCACUCCCACGUGCACGAAUGGGCCAGACCAAUUCCUUGAAUAAGCUUAAUCGAAUGGCCCACGUGUCUUCAUUCGAACGGUCUGGAUUUAUUUCCCAAAUAAGUGAGAUCAGACGGCUCCUAGUGCCUUACGUCGACCCAAGCGUACGAGUAAGAUUAGAGGAUGAAAGGUAUUUAAACGUCUCUUACUCGGCUCCCUAAACCCUACCUGAUGCACCCACCAGAGAAGAAGAAGAAGGGCAGCAGAAAGGGGACUCAACCGCUGGAGGAACGCCGACGCCACCGGGCUGGAACAUCAAAAGCACUCUAGUAAGUCAAAUUUUCUUCUCAUUCUUCUCGUUUCUUCGCCCUUAGCUACCUAACAGGUUUCUAAUAUAGGGUGAUUGAGAGAAGCCGCAAACUGCAAGGAAGGAACGACGGAGCUUGGCUGAGCCGCCGCAUCAGAAGACCGAAACCAUCAUCAAUAAGGCUAUGUUUUUGCCACUCUUUCACCGAAAAACACCCCUAACCACGAUUUAAAUAGAUUUUAACCAAGAACUGGCCAAAAUCAGU
This 693-nucleotide long non-coding RNA is filed under the name Carica papaya (papaya). RNAcentral describes it as "long non-coding RNA (CPAP_LNC012567)". The record is from RNAcentral. Lineage: Eukaryota; Viridiplantae; Streptophyta; Magnoliopsida; Brassicales; Caricaceae.